This 210-nucleotide long non-coding RNA is filed under the name Hordeum vulgare. RNAcentral describes it as "long non-coding RNA (HVUL_LNC005308)". The record is from RNAcentral. Lineage: Eukaryota; Viridiplantae; Streptophyta; Magnoliopsida; Poales; Poaceae.
GUUAGAGUUAACCUUGUUGUGUAGGCAUUCAUCAUGGUUAUUUUCAUAGAUUUUGUUGAGUCAUGCACGUAAGUAUGUCCACUACUAGCUGCGACCGUGUACACACGUAGAGAUGAGAUCGCGUGUGUUCAUGCAAGUUAGUAGUGAGUUAGUUAUUUAGAGAAUGGAUGCAUGUGCGGGCUUCCAUCAUUGUAGUAGCAUGCACGUACG